GAGCACGUAGGUGGGUUUGUAAGUCAGAUGUGAAAGCCUUCUGUUCAACGGAAGAAUUGCAUCUGAAACUGCGAGUCUUGAGUGUAGGAGGGGAGAAUGGAACUUCUGGUGGGGCGGUGAAAUGCGUAGAUAUCAGAAGGAACGCCGGCGGCGAAAGCGAUUCUCUGGCCUAUUACUGACACUCAGUGUGCGAAAGCUAGGGGAGCAAACGGGAUUAGAUACCCCGGUAGUCCUAGCCGUAAACGAUGGGCACUAAGUAGAGGGGUUUU
This 269-nucleotide ribosomal RNA is filed under the name uncultured Planctomycetales bacterium. RNAcentral describes it as "partial 16S ribosomal RNA". It matches the Rfam family "Bacterial small subunit ribosomal RNA", at positions 565 to 832 of the family's 1533-position model. Lineage: Bacteria; Pseudomonadati; Planctomycetota; Planctomycetia; Planctomycetales. The record is from RNAcentral.